RNAcentral lists this ribosomal RNA (253 nucleotides) under uncultured bacterium. RNAcentral's name for it is "partial 16S ribosomal RNA". It matches the Rfam family "Bacterial small subunit ribosomal RNA", at positions 524 to 776 of the family's 1533-position model. The record is from RNAcentral.
UACGUAGGGUGCGAGCGUUGUCCGGAAUUACUGGGCGUAAAGAGCUCGUAGGUGGUUUGUCGCGUCUGCUGUGAAAACCCGAGGCUCAACCUCGGGCCUGCAGUGGGUACGGGCAGACUAGAGUGCGGUAGGGGAGAUUGGAAUUCCUGGUGUAGCGGUGGAAUGCGCAGAUAUCAGGAGGAACACCAAUGGCGAAGGCAGAUCUCUGGGCCGUAACUGACGCUGAGGAGCGAAAGCAUGGGGAGCGAACAGG